This is a long non-coding RNA of Rhineura floridana, 1073 nucleotides long. RefSeq lists it as uncharacterized. The record is from RefSeq and is a predicted model, not a curated record. The transcript has 2 exons. Lineage: Eukaryota; Metazoa; Chordata; Lepidosauria; Squamata; Rhineuridae.
GGAAGGGAGGUGCAUCCAGGUGAUAGUAGAGCCACUUCAAACUGCAGCUAGAAAAAACAUCCUCGCUGCUGUUGAAGUGACGUGUGUGCCCACAGCCUGGCAUGCAACUGGAGUGAGCUCUGCGCCUCCCAGGUGUGCCUUGGCUGCCACCUGCUGCAAAGCCAGCCCAUUGCACUUCCUCCUCUUCCUCUUCUCCGUCAGGAGGAACAGAGGCCUUUGCUUCGCUCCACAGCACUGUCACCUGAGGAGGCAGGGGCAGGAGGCGGCCUUCCCAGAAGACAAGUGCUCUGCACUCUGCAGCCUUGUGGGCUUCUGUGUCUCAAUUAAAUCCCAAGCGAAGACCUCAUGACGGAACUCCUCCCAAGGGCUUGUUCAGAUUAGGAAGUGUGAGGCAGCCAGGAAAGCUGCAGACUGCUGGGGAAAACGUUUACUGGAAAGAGAACACACACCCCUUGGCCACCUCACAGUGAGAAUCUCCUGAAGUUCCAAAGAAAUUCUUGACUGCCCCAAAAAUGAGGCAGAGAAAUGGAAGUUUCUUGUGCAGAGGAAGAAAACAUUCGAGAAACUGGGGGACAGAUGUUCAUACAGUGCCAGAGAAAGUGCCCCCUUUUUACGCCAAGCAGCAUUCCAGGCCCAAGAUGGAUUGGCACAUCUGAGCUGCUUCAAGGGUUCAAUGCACGACUCCAGGCACCUGUGCAUGGGCAUGUGGGGUGUGUCCAUCCCACACAAUUGUGACUCCUCCACCCUCUGCCAUCAGCACACCAUGUUUGGAUCAACACAAGGGCUCCUCAAAGAGGUGGAUUGUGCAUAGCAGUAUCUGCAGUGUGGCAGCAUUGGAACCCCUCUUCAAAGGCCUGACCAGCAUUGGGCUGCCCCCAAUCUCUCCAUGGUUCGCAGACUUUUAAUGGUACAUUUCUCUCUCCUGGCCACAGUUAUAACUGACACACUGGCAUAUGUCCAUCGUUGCCUCCUCUUUUGGUACCUGCUGCUAUUUCUAGUGUGUGUGUUUGUAAGCCUGCUUGACAAUAAAAAGAUGAGGAUGAGGGGAGGACAUCCCCCCUCCCCAGAUCAUC